This 496-nucleotide ribosomal RNA is filed under the name uncultured bacterium. RNAcentral's name for it is "partial 16S ribosomal RNA". It matches the Rfam family "Bacterial small subunit ribosomal RNA", at positions 29 to 507 of the family's 1533-position model. The record is from RNAcentral.
AUGCACGCUGGCGGCGUGCCUAAUACAUGCCAGUCGAGCGCACAGACGAGGAGCUUGCUCCUCUGACGUUAGCGGCGGACGGGUGAGUAACACGUGGAUAACCUACCUAUAAGACUGGGAUAACUUCGGGAAACCGGAGCUAAUACCGGAUAAUAUAUUGAACCGCAUGGUUCCAUAGUGAAAGACGGUUUUGCUGUCACUUAUAGAUGGAUCCGCGCCGCAUUAGCUAGUUGGUAAGGUAACGGCUUACCAAGGCAACGAUGCGUAGCCGACCUGAGAGGGUGAUCGGCCACACUGGAACUGAGACACGGUCCAGACUCCUACGGGAGGCAGCAGUAGGGAAUCUUCCGCAAUGGGCGAAAGCCUGACGGAGCAACGCCGCGUGAGUGAUGAAGGUCUUCGGAUCGUAAAACUCUGUUAUUAGGGAAGAACAAAUGUGUAAGUAACUAUGCACGUCUUGACGGUACCUAAUCAGAAAGCCACGGCUAACUACGUG